AGUCCCAGGAUGCACUGCAGCUU
This 23-nucleotide microRNA is filed under the name Mus musculus (house mouse). Its description in RNAcentral is "Mmu-Mir-1955_5p (mature (guide))". Lineage: Eukaryota; Metazoa; Chordata; Mammalia; Rodentia; Muridae. The record is from RNAcentral.